Molecule: ribosomal RNA, 375 nt
Filed under: Lankanectes corrugatus (corrugated water frog)
Lineage: Eukaryota; Metazoa; Chordata; Amphibia; Anura; Nyctibatrachidae
Description: partial 12S ribosomal RNA
Rfam family: Bacterial small subunit ribosomal RNA (bases 39-375)
Source: RNAcentral
GCCUAUCGUANAUAUUAAUUCACACCNNNUAACGCCAGGGAUAUUACGAGCCCUAGNUUAAAAUCCAAAGGACUUGNCGGUGUCCCAUCCACCUAGAGGAGCCUGUUCUUUAAUCGAUAACCCCCGCUACACCUCACCAUUUCUAGCCCUUCAGCCUGUAUACCUCCGUCGCAAGCCUACCAUGUGAACGUUUAUAGUACGCUUAAUGAUCCACAUCAACACGUCNGGUCANGGUGCAGCUCACGAAAUGGGAAGCUAUGGGCUACAAUUUUUAAUAUAGAACAAACGAAAGACCUUAUGAAACAUGGUCAUGAAGGCGGAUUUAGUAGUAAAAAGAAAAUAAAGUGUUCUUUUUAAUCGGGCCCUGGGACGUGU